UACAGAGGGUGCGAGCGUUAAUCGGAAUUACUGGGCGUAAAGCGUGCGCAGGCGGUUUUGUAAGCCAGAUGUGAAAUCCCCGGGCUUAACCUGGGAAUGGCAUUUGGGACUGCAAGGCUCGAGUGCGGCAGAGGAGACUGGAGUUCCUGGUGUAGCAGUGAAAUGCGUAGAUAUCAGGAGGAACACCGAUGGCGAAGGCAGGUCUCUGGGCUGACACUGACGCUCAUGCACGAAAGCGUGGGGAGCAAACAGG
Molecule: ribosomal RNA, 253 nt
Filed under: uncultured bacterium
Lineage: Bacteria
Description: partial 16S ribosomal RNA
Rfam family: Bacterial small subunit ribosomal RNA
Source: RNAcentral